RNAcentral lists this long non-coding RNA (307 nucleotides) under Olea europaea subsp. europaea. Lineage: Eukaryota; Viridiplantae; Streptophyta; Magnoliopsida; Lamiales; Oleaceae. The record is from RNAcentral.
UGCAAUUUCCAGCCAUGAAUUCAGAAAUCCAAAAAAUAAAAUAAUAUAAGUAAUAACAAAUGAGGAAGAAAGAACAUUUGAUUCUCCUUCUCCCAACUUUUUUCCCCACAAGAAAACAAUAAAUCAUCUUUUCACUUGUACCCAGUCUUCUACUCGGACUAAAAUUCUCCCGUAACCCAUAAAACUUCUUUUUUCCUUUCUUUAUCCUUGUUGUUUAUUGAAUUCCUCGUUUAAUGAAAUGUUGAUGGAUCAAUAGAGAAGCAACGAGUAAAAAGGGGAGAAGUAAAUUAAUUUCGGGAAAAAAUUC